CUUGUAAUCCCAGCACUUUGGGAGGCCAAGAUGGGCAGAUCCUUUGAGGUCAGGAGUUCGAGACAAGCCUGGCCAACAUGAUGAAACCCCAUCUCUACUAAAAAUACAAAAAUUAGCUGGGCUUGGUGGCGGGCACCAAAUCCCAGCUACUCAGGAGGCUGAGGCAUGACAAUAGCUUGAACCUGGGAGGCGGAGGUUGCAGUGAGCCAAGAUCAUGCCACUGCACUCCAGCUUGGGCAACAGAGUGAGACUCAGCCUCAAAAAAUAAAAUAAAAAAUAAAUUUCAACUAUGCCUUCUCCAUUUCCCUCCUCCCUCCAACAUGCAAUAACAACAGCAGUAUUAGGUUCCUUUAGCUGUAAAAUGAAAAUUUCCAAUUGCACCUUAGAAGGAGGCUGGAGGGUAGGAGUUUAUCUGGCACAAGUCUACAAAGCUGACAGGUGCACCAAACACCUGAGGUUGGGAUCAUGGCAGGACAGGUGGGGUUUGGGGUCAUCAGAGGUAAACUGAGGAGGAACUCACUUAGGAGGGAGCAAGUCAAUGCCUUUCAUGUCCUUCAGUCUUUCCUUUAAUCAGUCACUGAGUCAGUUAGGCUGCCAAGAAACACUUAUGAAACAUGGGAAAGGCUUUGCUCUUGAAGGUAAGUAAGGUACCAUCUUUUCUCCUGAAAAGUUGGUACUCUAGAGACUAAUUUCAGAAACAGGCAUCUUGCUCAGGAAUGAGUGGCCAAGUAUGAUUUCACUUAUAAUCACAAGAGUCAGUGUGACUUGAAGUUGGGCUGUAAUCUCAAACUUGUCACUAAGGAGAUAGGUGACCUGCAACAGGUGAAUUUAACCUCUCUGAAGUUCCAUCAGCUCUUCUAAAAUGAAUGACUUGGACAAGAUCAUCUAUAAGACAUCCAUGUGCUCUAAUACUUCAUGACUCUGGACAGGAUAGAGCUCACACUGGGCAGCAGGAAAGUGACGGGAAAGGUCAGCACUGGAGUAGGAGCCUGGACUCAAAUCCCCCCUGCCACGCCCCUGCCAUGGAGCCCUGGGAAGCCACAUGAUGUUUCCUAUCCUCAUUUGUCUCAUUAAUGCAAUAGAGAUCACGGCACCAGCUUUGUCUCCUGUGAGGGACUUUUGUUACAAUCUGUUGAUUUUAAACCACUGUUAUAUUACAUUCAUAGACUAACACUUAGCUGUAAUGCGCUAGAGAAAAAAUCAGGAUCACCAUUAAUCCCCAUCAUUAUCAUUGAGACUCUGGGAUGCUGGAACGUCACAGCCAGCUCCCUCUGUGACACCCUGUGUGAGGCAACAGUGGGGCAGGACUCCGAAAAUGGUUCCAUGCUGUCACUACGACACCCAUGAACUGUGAUGCCUUCCUAAGUGCUAGACUGUGAUUAGGGUGGAGGUCCUGCAGUCACUGGGGUCUCAUAAGUCAUGAGAGUCAUGCUGCUCUCUCAAACCUACAUAGCUACAAGUAGUGGGUAUGUGCCUUGCACACGCCACUUAACCUCUCCCAGCCUUGGAGGUCUCUUCCGCCUAAAGUAGGUUAGUAACGGUAAGCAUAGUCAACACGUACCAUUAUGUAGUCUGUGCCAUACGCACAGCAAGCAACCAACGAGGUGUGUGGAGGCUGAAAUUCAGCCCCAGCUACAUUCGCCAAGCCUCACAACUACGGGGCUGCAUUGUCACUGAAGAGGCAACUUUUUCUAAUUCAUCAUCCCAGAGAGGACUGAUGUGAAUUUUCUAAAUCACAGCAAGGUGCUGUUUGUGUUAACAGUGACCUUGGUAGUACCUGCUGAGAAGCCUGGGCAUUAAGUACGAACAUACACGGAGUCCUUAGCACAGUGCCAGGAAUACAACAGAGUCCAAUACUGGGUAGCUGUUAAUGUUAAAAUAUUAUUCAUUCAUUCAUUCAUUCAUUCAUUAAUUCAUUCACUCAGCAAGCAUUCAUUGUGCACCUCCUGUAUACGAGCUACAUGCUAGGGCAGCUGGCAUGUCUG
RNAcentral lists this long non-coding RNA (1985 nucleotides) under Homo sapiens (human). RNAcentral's name for it is "HSALNT0199796". Lineage: Eukaryota; Metazoa; Chordata; Mammalia; Primates; Hominidae. The record is from RNAcentral.